This is a long non-coding RNA of Homo sapiens (human), 9538 nucleotides long. RefSeq lists it as uncharacterized. The transcript is spliced from 4 exons. Lineage: Eukaryota; Metazoa; Chordata; Mammalia; Primates; Hominidae. The record is from RefSeq and is a predicted model, not a curated record.
CGCAGGGCUCAUGCCACAACUGUCCUAGAAAUAGAAAAUUCUUCCAAAGUAAAAAGUUUAUGUUUAAAAUAUAGGGAAAAGACUUGAAUAGACAUUUCACCAAAGACGACAUGUCAAUGGCAAAUAAACACAUCCAAAGGAGCUCAACCUCCAUGAAGAGGGGAAAAGCGCAUCGAAGCCCACUGCACACCUGCUGGAAUAACCCUGAUCAAAACCCAGAGGAUGGCAGGAGCCGCCCGACCUGCAAACAGCCACGGUGUCCCUGCUGACCCCGUGCCUCCAGCACAGCCUCCUCCUGGACUUGGUUUUAUCCACAGCUGCUGAGGUCACUUGCUCCAACUCCAGAAGGAAUUCUGCUCACAGCUGUCACACUGACCAGCACGUCCCAGGUCCUCAGAACUUUCCCAGCGCCAGUGAACUUUCUCAAAGAGCAAUAGGUAACCUUCUCCUUUCUUGUAAAACCACCAACCUUCUACUGCUUCUCCAACCUCCACCAUUUACCUGGUCGGCACAUAUGCCCCAAGAUGCAAUCCUUUCUUCCCAAAUAAAACGUUAAACUUGGAAAUUCGCCUCUACAUUUUUAUUUUGACUUGAACAUACCCCAGCAACCGUGAGACCCCGAGGACACGAGUGACCUUCCCUGCUCCUGGUUCCUUCGUGUGCACAACAGGCCGUGCUGUCUCCUGGAGCCUGGGGCCUGGCACCUGGGAGCUCAGCCAGAGCGGCCCCAGCAACCUCCCUGUAGCUCCAGCAGUGCCAUCCCUGUGGUCAGCGUGGACCUGGCCUCCCAGUGGCCCCAAGUCCCCCCAUAGCUCCAGUACUGCUGUCCCUGCAGCGUGAACCCGGCCUCCCAGUGGCCCUGUAUUCCAUGGAGGCCUGGGCCCCCUGCCCUCCUGAGCCUCACAGUGACCAGCCAGCCUCACACGCUGCUGACCCUCAGUAGUGGCCAACCCCGUGUCUGUCGGAGGGCACAGGCCACCAUCCCCAUGGAGCUCAGGCCUGCUGCCUGGGCAGGGGCCCUCCAGGAAGCCUGGCACUUAGGGGUGGCAGCUCAAGCUUGUUGGGGGUGGGGAGCUGGCCGGGCAGUCAGGGCCCGUCAUGUGCGACUUUGGGCCAAUCCCAUCCCCUCUGGGCCUCUGUUCCCAUUUACCAGAGAAAGAUGGUCUCCGCUGAGCCAACCACCUUCAUCCAAACCGAAGGACAGAAACCACCUCUGCUGAGCCUGGAAGCAGCCAAGGGAGUGGAGAAGCCGGCGGGGAUCCCCAGGUUGGGCCACACACACCCCAGUGAGGCUGCGGGAGAGACGUGCCACCUCCCGAGGUGCAGAGUUUCGCAGGGCACAACCCACUCCCGUCUGCUCCUCCAGCACCCUGUGACCCAGGAUGGGCGGGUUUCCUGUGCCCCACUUCACAGACGGGAACAUUGAGGCUGGGGGGAGCUGAGUGAGGAGUUUGCGGUCCCCAGCCACACGGUGUGACUCCAGCUUUGCUCAGAUGCCACACGCUGCACGCACUCCUUUACUGGAUGCACCCGGCCCCGCUGGACACUGACGUGCCCCCUCCCAGGACAGCAGCAGGAGCACCCAGCCCUCCUGGAUGUCCCCCUGCCCCUCUGUGCCGCAGCCCUCAUGACUCACUGGGAGGCCAAAAGGAAGCCCCAAGUGAUUUUCUAGCAGCACCUCCCGCAGCCCUCGGGGUGAGGCUGGGCUGUUCUGCCUGCGAGUGGUGCUAGGGGAACCUCCUGAGGGGUCCCAGGAAGGCCCCUGGCCUCCUGCCUCCACACCCCUGAUUUCUUGGAUCCCUUUCUUGGUCAGUGAGAGCCGACUGGGUGAAGUCACCCCUGGAGGAGGAGGGAGCUGAAGCAGCCGGUGACUCACUCACACGAGACAGUGGGCGGUGGCCAGGGCAGAGCGGGACUCCCCAUUGCUGGCUAAAAUCCAGACAGCGCCUUGGCCCGAGGUGUCCCUGACAGGACGAGGGUGGAGUGGCAGCUGCUGAAACCUGAACUCCUCUGCCCUGCCCCCGUCCCUUGACCUCACGCAUCUAGUAGGUCAGCGCCAGAGGAAAUCCUCGAAGAAAAUGGGCGUCUCCCUUGCUGAGCACAGAACCGCAGUCAGUCCUGUGUGCCCGCUCCCUGGAUGAGGACAGGAAGGACGUGGGGGAGAGGCCACAGUCACCCUCAGGAGCCCCCAGACCCACUGGAAAGCAGCCCAUCCGGAUUUUCACAGGUCUGCUUCUCCCGGGGGCCACGCCUGCAUUUCUGCGAACGAUCCCCAGCUGUCCCUAAUGAAACGUGCUCCUCCACUGAGAGGGAGCCCAGCCCCACUCAAGUGGGUCAGAGCUCGUCCGUAGGAGGCUGUGUGGGGGUCACGCCACCACAGGACGCAGAUCUGCCAGAAGCCUGUUUUAUUGCACUUAACUAAUUCCCAAGAUAAACCACUGGGAAUUUCCAUGUAAGCACUUAGGCCUCUGUUUAUGAGAAUCUUUGAUCCACUGAGAAUGUUUAGAACUCACUGAAGCAUCCCUGGCCCUGCCCAGCACCAAGCCUUCCAAGAUGCGUGAGGGCAGGGAAAUUGUCGGCCUGUGCUUGGUCUGUGGGGAUCCAGGACCCCAGGAGGGGACCCCAAUAGGGAGCCUCUGCCCCCCAGGUGGUGGGGUCUCUGCUGGGACUCUGCAGGCUCCUGCCCGUGGCCAAGUUCAUGGCUGUCUUUUCCAGAGCUGCCCCGGAGCCCUAGACAGCCCCAUGGAAGGGCCCAUCUUCCUCCGGCCGUGGAGGAAAUUUGCAGCCAUCCGUGACCUGCAAACUGUAGCUUAUGAUGGACUGCUCCCCAUCCACCAAAGCCCAGCCACUUGGUUUGGAAGCCACUGCCCCAAAUGGCCCCUCUCCAGUCACUGAACUGCAGUUCAAAUGCCCCACCCCUUGGCUCUUUGAGCAGCCAGCCUGCCUUCUUGCUCUGGGAUGGUUUCUUCAAAACCCUCUGGAGUAUGUCCAGUUCUUCUGUUAUUUCAGGGUGUUUUAUUUCCAGCACAGAUUUCCACUUCUGCUACCACCGGGAUGGAAAAGGCCUCUUCCCUCCGAUUCCCCCAAUCCCAAGAAUCCAAUUCCUUCGCUAAUGCUGAGUGCAGACAUAGUCUCUACAAUCCAGAAGGCUGAGUGAGGUGGAAAUGUCGGUGCAGCCUGCAGCUCACCUGGUUGUCACUCACAGAUCGGCCUCGGAAAGCUCCAGGAAGUUGAUUUGGGAUGAGCCAGCCAUCCCGCACAGAUGGUGGGAGGGAGAGGAGGCCGGAGCUUCAGCCAGUGCAGUGCCGUGGCCCCUGUUCUGUGGUUCACUGGGGUGUGAGGCCUUCCUUGGGCUCAGAGAGGGGGCCUCCGAGUCCUCAUCCACAGAAGCCCUCUGUGCCACCAGCAGGGAACAGCCAGCAAACAGCCUUCACCCUGAAGAUCCAGACGGAAUUCUUGGUUUCUACAGCUGCUCCCUGCCUCUCCCCACAGCCACGGGAAGGGGAGUUAACCGAGGCAGCCCCCACCCGAGACAGACCUGCACAGGGCCAAGAACUUGCCCUGUGGUAGGGCUGGGGGAGGAGCGGCUGGUGGACUUUCUGUGUCAAAGGCAGGUGUCACUUUCAGCUCAUUAAUUUCACUUCUACAGGUUCUCAAUCCACCAAAAUGAGCUCUUUACAAAGGCCAGGACCUGCCCUUCUAGAGGACAGGCUCAUACUUCCCAAAGCUUCAGGACUUGGGGUCCUGUGGCUGCCCAUCCGUCAGCAGAACUGGGUGAGGCCAGCUGUGACAUCAGACAAGUCCCCUGCCUCUGGCAAUUCCUCAGCGGGGGGCAUGACCUACUGUGCAUUCCAGGGCUGGGGCACAUGUACUUACCCCUUAGCCUUGGACCACAAGCCUCCCCCAGCCCAAAAUGGAAUGGGGACAGCCUCUGCCACAGGGAGGGGCAGGUGGUGCCGUGUGAGGGGCGGUGGCACCCAGGGCUUUUCUCACAAGGAAAAGGAACCUCGAAGUGUUUCUCUCUGCACACUUUGCCUCCCUCAAAGGCGGGCUCCUUCCUCUCCCACCCGCAUCAGCAGCUGAGGCCCCAGAAGGGCCCACCUGUGUCCCGCGCACCAUGCGUGAGAUCGCUGAUUGCCUCCUGGGGUAGUCGCAGCAUGCUCGAGCCUCUCUGGACCCCAUCCCAGCUGUCAACCAGGAAGCCCCCGUCAGGCUCCAAGACCCCCAGACGCUGGCCCGGGCUCCCCAUUUUCACUUGAUCCUCCCCGCCGUGUUUCUGUCUUCCUGGGGCUGCAGGCAUUUUGGUCAUGGCUGCAUCACACCAGUGUCUGCGUCCGUGGCCACGCAGCCUCCUCCUUUUCUCCGUGUCUUAAACUUCUUUCUGUUCCCUCUUAUCGGGACCUCCUGAUGACAUCAGACGCCGCCCCACCAUGGUUCAGAACAAUCUUUCCAUCUCAAGAUCCUCAGUUCAAUCACAUCUGCAGAGACCCUUUUUUUCCGUGUAAAGUAGCAUUCACAGGUCCCAGGGAUUAGGAUCUGAUAUCUCUGGGGCCAGUACAGAUGGGUUUGAGAUUUGAUCAUGGAGAAAAGAAAUGACGGCAUUUAGCUCUAUAUCCUAGUCAACAGGGAGCCGCUGAGCAUGACUGAGAAGAACGUCAAAAAUCAAGCAGUUUUGUAAAAGAGUAAGGCCUCUCCACUCUCCUAAACCCAGCCAAUUUCUCAAAAUUUGUGAGAGCGGCGUCCUCCCAGCAGCAAACACAAGGGACACGUGUGUGCACCCAGACCGGCACCUACCACUCUAGACAGUCCCCAGAGCGAGGCUUAGGCCUGACGGCCGGAGAUGCAACCGUGGCCAGGGGCCCAGAGCUCAUCAAAACCUGCUCAGUCCAAGGCCUUAGGCUGAGCCUGACAUCGUGUCAUAUUGUGGAAACACUCGUUCCCUCAUUCAGCCAAAUGCUUUUUAAAGCGACUUUUUGGCCGGGCACGGUGGCUCACGCCUGUCAUCCCAGCACUUUGGGAGGCCGAGGUGGGAGGAUCAUUUGAGGUCAGGAGUGUGAGACCAGCCUGACCAAUAUGGUAAAACCCUGUCUCUACUAAAAUACAAAAAAAAAAAACUAGCAGGGCAUGGUGGUGUGCGCCUGUAAUCCCAGCCACUCAGGAGGCUGAGGCAGGAAAAUCACGUGAACCCGGGAGGCGGAGGUUUCAGUGAGCCAAGAUCUUACCACUGCACUCCAGCCUGGGUGACAGAGUGAGACUCCGUCUCGAAACAAAAAAACAAAAAAAAAAACAAAAAAAACAAAAAAAGUGACUUUUUAUUCUAAAACAGUUUUAGAUUUACAGAAAAAAUAUGUAAAUCUGUAAAUGUCCUGAUGGGGCUUGUGUUCUAGGAGUAAGACAUCAGCUCUGCUGCUCAGAUGUCCAGGAGGGUCUUCGGCGGAGCCUGGAGCCCCCCACCCCAGGGUCAGGGGUCUCUCCCUGGAAGGAGGGAUCAGCGCCUGGACUUUGGGGAGGCCGCUUGGGGGCCACGGUGUGUGGAGACCCUGGGACAUUCGUGUGAGUGCAGGUGGGGGUGAGACGCAGAGGAGAGGCAUCUUGGGAGGAGAAAGAGCGCGGUGCCUGGGGGUGGCUGUCAGGUUGGGAGAUCCUGGGGCUCAUAGGGAUUCUGGGGUCCCAGGGAACCCCUAAGUUUGGAGGCUGGAAGGGCCCCCAGCUGCCGUGGCCCUGGAGAGUUCCCAGAGUAUUUCCUGACGAAAUGAACAGAAGACCACAGCCUUCUGCAGCGGAGGAGAAGCAUGCGGAGCAUCCACAUCUACAAAGGCCCCAAAGUGGAAAAACCUGUUGUUUUUCCUGAGCAGCCCGGCUGGAAACAAUGGCGGUUUUGUUUCGCAGACUCCGCAGAAUCUGGCGGGCAGGGGGAUGGGGGCGCCGGAUGCUGCAGGGAGGCGGCUGAGGGAAGGAGGGGGCGUCGACCCUUCCUGACCCACGGAGGACACCUCUCUGGCCCGCUUCGGGGGGGUGGGGGGUGGGUCGGUUUGCCCGGGAGGAAAUCCCACUGCUUCCCACUCACAAGCCGGUGGGUGGCCGCGAGGCCUGGCCGCACAGCCUCAUUCCUGCGACUUUCUUCUGCCUUGUGGCAUGGCUUUUUCUUUUCCCCUAAGGAAAGUUUGCUUAAAGAGAAAGAGACACACAUACCAUUCUCUGGUCCUUUGAAGGGUUGAGCUAAGCUGGGUCAAGAGGAAAUGGCUUGCUCAGUCACCCCUGAGAACAAAAUACUCCCACGAGUUUUGGUGAGGCACUUGUGUCUUCUCAGCUCAAAUCUCUACCACCCCACGGACAAGGCAGUUCAAAUCCAGGCUCACCACCACCUGCUGUGUGGGUUGGGCAAGAUGUGCGCAUCUCUGAGCUUCGGUUCCUUGAGUGUAGAAUAAGCAUAACAUCUGUGUAGAAGGAUUACUGUGAGGGAUGCUGUUUGUACACCUCCCACUGCCAGAACGCAAGUUCCAUGAGUCUGGGGCUGUGUUUUCUCCAUUGCUGCAAACCCUCUAAAAUGUUAGCCGAGUUCAUCAGGACCACAAGGACCACCACCACCAUCAUCGUCACCCUCACCCAAACGCUCAAAUCUCCAAGUGUCUAAACUCAUGGGUCUGUGCCAAAUGCUACCAUGCUUAGCGUCCCCAAAGCUAGAGUCACCACGAAGAAGGUUCUCUCCAGUAUUACUGCCUUAAACUUCUAGCCCAGAACCCUCAAUAAACUUGGGCACCUUUUGUGCUGGGCCUCCUUUAGCCGAUGGCUCCAGGGCCCCUAUCCCUGGCACAGAAGGCCAUCGGCAAUGUAGGGGGUAAGCUGGGGGGGGGGUGGGGGGUGAGCCGUUCAGCUCUGCUGAGCUGUGCUGUCUCAUGGGAGUGGCCCCACCCUUCCAGGAACCUUCCUUGAGCAAAAUCGUCAAAUGUCAGCAGGUGGUCUUGAAAUCCCUUCCUCUGUGACCCAGUAAUUCAGAGAUCUUAAUGAUGUUUCCCCAAAGUUAGAACAUAGUGGCUGUUCCCUAACACACACACACACACACACCCUUUCUCUGUUAUGUGUCUCCCAUAAUUUUUCUGUUUCUCAAUUAUGUUUCUUUCUCUGUUAUGUUUGUCUAUUAUUUCUUCUUUGAAUUGUCAAUGCCUGCUUCUACUGGUCUGUACCAGGUUCUAUUGCAAUCACCUCUGGUUGGGGCAAAACUGCACAUUUAGCUAUUUUAUGAGUGUUUCCUUGUACUUCAUAGAGGGCACCAGAGCCCUUGCAGCAUGUGGGCACACGGGUCAGAGGAUGCAGACUGAAAGGAGCUUCUGGACGUGCAUUCUAUUCUCAUUCUGGAGCCAAGGAAGUGAGAGGGGAAAAGGGAAGUGAUUCUAAGCCUUUUGUGGGGUCUCAUACAUAACUCAGUUUCCACAAAGCUGUGCCCCAGCUCAGCCCUAUGGAUAGAAGCAUGGUCUGGGGUUCCUUUGCUGACCAGGGUGUGUACUUUGUCCAAGUUAUUGACCUUCCCAAACCUCAUCAAUGCACUUAAAAAGAGCACUUGCAAACAAUGAAUCUAGACAUGGACCUUCACAAAGAAAUAACUCAAAAUGGAUCCCAGGCCUAAAUGAAAAAUGAAAAACUAUAAAACUCCUAGAAGAUAACAUAAAAGAAGAUCUAGAUGACCUAGGGUUUGGCAAUGACUUUUUAGAUCCAGCACCAAAGGCAGGGUCCAGGAAAGAAAUAAUUGAUAAGCUAGACUUCAUUAAAAUGAAAACUUCUGCUCUGUGAAAGAUGCUGCCAAGAAAAUGAAAAGACAAGCCACAGACUGGGAGAAAAUAUUUUUGAUGGAAAUAUCUGAGAAGAGAGGCUUGUUAUCCAAAAUAUACAAAGAAUUCCUAAAACUCAACAAUUUGAAAAUAAACAACCCAAUUUAAAAAGUGGGCCAAAGAUCUUAAAUGAUGCCUCACCAAAGAAGAUACACAGAUGGCAAAUAAGCAUACGAAAAGAUGCUCCCGGCUGGGCACGGUGGCUCACGCCCGUAAUCCCAGCACUUUGGGAGGCCAAGGCAGGCAGAUCACCUGAGGUCAGGAGUUGGAGACCAGCCUGGCCAACAUGGCAAAACGCUUUCUCUACUAAAAAUACAAAAAAAAAAAAAAAUUAGUGGGGUAUGGUGGUGCAUGCCUGUAAUCCCAGCUACUCAGGAGGCUGAGGCAGGAGAAUCACUUGAACCUAGGAGGCGGAGGUUGCAGUGAGCUGAGAUUGUGCCACUGCAGUCCAGCAUGGGCAACAAGAGUGAAACUCCAUCAAGGAAAGAAAAGAAAGAAAGAGAGAAAGAAAGAAAGAAAGGAAGGAAGGAAGGAAAAAGGAAGGAAGGAAGGAAGGAAGAAAAGAGGCUCCUCAUCACACAUGUCAUCAGGGAAAUGCAAAUUAAAAUAAGCAUAAGAUAUCGCCUCUCACCUAACAGCAUGGCUAAAACCCAGAACUCCGACAACACCAAAUGCUGGGCGAGGAUGUGGAGCAACAGGAACUCUCACUCAUUGCUGAUGGGAAUGCAAAAUGGUGUGGCCACUGUGGAAGACAGUUUGGUAGCUUCUUAGAAAGCUAAACAUGCUCUUACCAUACCACCCAGUAAUUACACUCCUUGAUAUUUACCCAAAGGAGUUGGAAACUUAUAUUCACAUAAGAACCUACACACAGAUGUUUAUAGCAGCUUUAUUCACUGUGGCCAAAAUGUGGGAGCACCCAAGAUAGCCCUCCAUAAGUGAAUGGAUAAUAAACUGUGGUCCAUCCAGACAGUGGAGCAUUAUUCAGCACUAAACAGAAAUGAGCUGCAAACCAUGAAAGGAUGUGGAGGAAACGUAAGUGCAUAUUACUAAGUCAAAGAAGACAGUCUUAAAAGGCUACGUAGUGUGUGCUUCCAACUGUGUGACAUCCUGGAAAAGGCAAAACUGUGAGAGCCAUCAAAAGAUGAGUGUUGCCCGGGGCUGGCAGGAGGAUGAGAUGAACAGGCAAGACAGAGAGGAUUUUUAGGGCGGUGAAACUACUUUGUAUGAUACCAUAAUGGUGGAUAGAUAUUGUUAGAAAUUUUUCCAAACCCACAGAAUGUACACCACCAGGAAUGAACCCUGAUGUAUGACAGAGCAGGAGCAUCGCCAUUUUGGACAAGUACCACUGUUUUAAAGUUCCCCAUGACCAAAAACGGCCUAAAUCCAACCCAAGGGGCAUCAGCCUAAUGGCUAAUGUCAGCAUGACCAUAAAUCACAAAUGACAUCUCCAACCAGAAACAUGCCAACCCUAAGAUAAACCCCUCCGUAACCAGAGACAUGCCAGCCCAGAGGUAACCUUCCCUCCAACCAGAGACAUUCCAACCCUGUAAUAAACUUCUCCUCCACACAGAAACAUCCUAAGGCUGUGAUAAGCUCUCUCGCCCUGAACCCUUCCAUACUCUUAGUCUGUAAGACAGAGCACUCCUGACUGAAAUUGGCCAGAAGCUCCUCUCAGGUUUAUUCUCCAAAAUAAACCUAUCUUGGACUGUUGA